Molecule: long non-coding RNA, 1670 nt
Organism: Cyprinus carpio carpio
Lineage: Eukaryota; Metazoa; Chordata; Actinopteri; Cypriniformes; Cyprinidae
Source: Ensembl
CUAUUUUAAUGACAUCCUUGCUACUUUUCUGGGCCUUGAAUGUGGUAGUUCCCUUGUUGUCUAUGGAGGGUCAGAAAGCUCUGGGAUUUCCUCAAAAAUAUCUUAAUUUGUGUUGCGAACAUGAACGAAGGUCUUACUGGUUUGGAACGAUGUAAGGGUGAGUAAUUAAUGACAGAAUUUGGCUCCUCAGAUAAAAGAUGCAGUGCAGUGCCAAAUUAUGGAAAAAAACAGUCUUAGUUAGAAUUGCCUUCCUUCUGAUCCCAACUUUAUGAAAGAGUGGAUGAACUUUAUUUUUAAUGAAGAUCCAGACCACGUCAGUAAGAACUUGGUCCUUUGUUCACUUCAUUUUACCGCAGAUUCGUUUACAAACAAGGCACAAUUCGAUGUAAGAUUUUCAGAAAGAUUGAAACUCAAAGGCGAUGCUGUGUGACUAUAUUGGAUCCGACAGUAAUGUCGCAGCACACAAGUUGUCCAGCUUGGUGUAUGCAGUGGGACCAACUGUGCUGGUAAAAGCAUCACCUGCUAAAGCUGUCGCAUCGCCAGCACGCCCCAUGGUGCAGUGCACCACACGUGACCUACAGCUCAAUUGAAUUCAACACAUAUGCUGCACUCAAAUUAGUUACACAGGGCCAGUUUAGAGGCUGGUUAGACAGACUGGGCAUUAAAUAAGCUAAACUUGCAUUACUUGUAUAACUUGUAUAAGGUCAUUGAUAAAUGUAAUAUAUUUCUGUAAGCUCUAAAGGACUUUAUUUUUAUAACACUGAAAGGUAAAGUAUGACAUUUUGUUGGAGGCCAGGUGGAGGCCUCAUCAGAGAUGGAUUGGCCAUAAAUAGGACUAAAACUGUUCCUGGUGGGCUGGCUGAAACCACAUUUAUAAUACAAAGAGAGAAGAGGGAGAAAUGAAUGUUCCAGUUGCUCAUCUUACUUGGCCUCCCAGUCCAAAUUCAUGGCCACCCAUUAUAAAAUAAAACAGCAAAAGUUAGUUAAAAAGGACAGGAAGGAGUUGUUAUGGGUUGAUAGUGCAUCAUGAAAGUUAAGGAAGGUCAAAAGAAAUUAAGAAAUCAAGAAAAGUGUGGUGAAUAAUUGUAUACUGACAAAACGGUCUUUCCUAAUGAGACCAUAUCAUAUUAGAGCUAUCCGAAAAACUGUAGUUAAUUUUCACUAUGAUUUUUACUGAUUUUGUGAGAAGAACAUAUACAUAUUUAAUUUAGAGGAGAUUGAAAUCAUAUUAUAUGCUUGCAAAACAUACAUUUACCAAACCUACCCAUGCAGGAAGUAGUAUCCUAUAAUGCACAAAUAAUAAUAAUAACAAUAUAUAUAUAUAUAUAUAUAUAUAUAUAUAUAUAUAUAUAUAUAUAUAUAUAUAUAUAUAUAUAUAUAUAUAUAUAUAUAUAACUUAUUAACACUUUAUUUGACAUUGUAUAACAAGGCUAAAUCCCAUUUGUUUUGCCUUGUUAUGGCGAAACUAAUGUUAGGGUGAAAUUGACUUUCAAAGCAACACCACAAACACAGAGAUGGCUGCUCUCUAUUAAGCUAUUCUCAGCAGAGCAACCACUCCAGCAAAAACCAGUGAUUAGGCUUUGAUUAGAGUGAUUACAGCCCAAUUUGAUCAGUUAGCACAUCACAAUUGUGUUGAAUCUAAUUCAGCUUUUCCUCUGCUGCAGAACCAG